CAGUGUUUGUGUCGGUGUCGUAGCCGGCGCGCCACUUUUUUGUUUAGUUGGUUGUGUGUGUGUGUGUGUGUGGUUUGGUCUUUGGUCGUUGGCUCAACCUAGGCCAGACACGGACACGGACAAACAACCGCAAAAGAACAAUCUAUGUAUCGAUGGAUUCUUGGAAUCAAAA
RNAcentral lists this unclassified non-coding RNA (172 nucleotides) under uncultured fungus. RNAcentral's name for it is "sequence contains ITS1, 5.8S rRNA gene". Lineage: Eukaryota; Fungi. The record is from RNAcentral.